This 253-nucleotide ribosomal RNA is filed under the name uncultured bacterium. RNAcentral describes it as "partial 16S ribosomal RNA". It matches the Rfam family "Bacterial small subunit ribosomal RNA", at positions 524 to 776 of the family's 1533-position model. The record is from RNAcentral.
UACGGAGGAUCCAAGCGUUAUCCGGAUUUAUUGGGUUUAAAGGGUGCGUAGGCGGCUCAUUAAGUCAGGGGUGAAAGACGGUAGCUUAACUAUCGCAGUGCCUUUGAUACUGAUGAGCUUGAAUGUAGUUGAGGUAGGCGGAAUGUGACAAGUAGCGGUGAAAUGCAUAGAUAUGUCACAGAACACCAAUUGCGAAGGCAGCUUCUAAAGUACGAUUGACGCUGAGGCACGAAAGCGUGGGGAGUCAAACAGG